RNAcentral lists this ribosomal RNA (273 nucleotides) under uncultured bacterium. Its description in RNAcentral is "partial 16S ribosomal RNA". It matches the Rfam family "Bacterial small subunit ribosomal RNA", at positions 524 to 796 of the family's 1533-position model. The record is from RNAcentral.
CACGUAGGAGGCGAGCGUUGUCCGGAAUCAUUGGGCGUAAAGAGCGCGCAGGCGGCUCGGCAAGUCGGGUGUGAAAUCCCGGGGCUCAACCCCGGGACUGCAUCCGAUACUGUCGGGCUAGAGGUAGGUAGGGGAGAUCGGAAUUCCUGGUGUAGCGGUGAAAUGCGCAGAUAUCAGGAGGAACACCGGUGGCGAAGGCGGAUCUCUGGGCCUUACCUGACGCUCAGGCGCGAAAGCUAGGGGAGCGAACAGGAUUAGAAACCCUAGUAGUCC